RNAcentral lists this unclassified non-coding RNA (219 nucleotides) under Hevea brasiliensis (rubber tree). Lineage: Eukaryota; Viridiplantae; Streptophyta; Magnoliopsida; Malpighiales; Euphorbiaceae. The record is from RNAcentral.
AAAAGACUUCAGUUUGGACAUGUACUCUAACUUUUUUGAUCAAGGAAAUGGCACUUCCUUUUAUGUAACAAACCUCACACUGGGAUUCAAUGAGAAGAAAUCAAAAGAUGCUGAUUUUGGAUUUGGGACCAGCUCUCUUAAAAAUCUACAGAGUGCGCAAGGUGUGAUGGUUGUAAAGAACAACUUGGUGGUCAGUGGAGUGGGAAGUACACAGCAGAC